UUAAUGAAAAUCAACAUGACUGCCUCCCUUAAGAGCUGGUUUUGGAAAGGUCUCUGCAGAGGACACUGAGGAAACUCUUUGUUCAUUAAGAGCUCGAGAUUUCAGCACUAGAGCAAUAGGGAAUGGUCAUUUCCUGCAAUCCCUGAGUCCAUGCUGGACAGGUGAAUGGAGGAGCCAGGAAAAAGGAACCAUCGCUGACAAUAAACAAGGUGCACAGUCAAAGAGAAUCAUUUGGAGCUACCAGUCAUCGUGUCACAGAUUAUGUAUUAGUUGUGCAAAUGAAGUCCAAUGAGGUGUGCAACAGCAGUCACCUGGAAAGCACUUUACUAGAAAAUCCAGGUGUAUUUUGAAGUAAGGUGAGCAUAUAAUUGAUCUUCUAAAACUGGGAACGCCUUUUUUAGAGUAAAAGAAGGAGCUUUUUCAGAAAUUAUGCAGGGCAAUAGGCUGAAACUGGGAUUGUCGUAGACAAACUGGGACAAAUGGCCACCUGAAUUCUGACUUGGUUAGCAUAUAACUUUGCCUUGUCUUAAAAAGAAUUUAAGGCUGCUUAUAAAAAUAUAUGAAACUGAUUUUGUUGCUGGUGGUGGUGGUGGUAUUUUAGUGGAGAGAAAGUGUAGGGAAGGGUGGUGAGGGUGGUAGAUCAUGAUUAUGAAUGAAGUGAGAACCAAAAAUCUUCUCCAAACAUCUGGAAAUCAGGUGCAGUUUCACAACUGCAUUUAUUUGUAAGAUUUAGAUGUGCAGAAUGUUUGAAGAAUCCCUGUAAUACUGUGACUUACAAGGGGUAUAUAUUUGGUCAUUCAGAUAUUUAUUUGCUCUUCAUCCAUAGUUCUUGGCUCACAGCUGUCAAAACCCUUGGAAUUUCCUGAGUGAUAAGAGCCAUGAGAGCAGCUUUUGUUAUAAUAUUUGGUCUUUUGUCCUUAGUUCCUAAAAUGGCUUCAGGGCCAUAAAGAUGAAAUGGGCACCUUGUUAUUCAUAACAAACCUCCUGCCACAACUGAAUUUAUGUUAAUGAGGUGACUUUCUGGAAGCAUCUAAGGAUGGGGGCUCAUUGCCAGGUGAAUUAACCAUGUGAUUAGAGGGUUGGAACUUUCAGUCCCACCCUCCACCCAUGGGGAGGGGGAAGGGCAGGGAUUGAGUUCAGUCACCAGCUGCCAAUGAUAUAAUCAAUCAUGCCUAUGUAAUGAAUCCUCCAUAAAAACCUCCAAAGAAUGGAGUCUGGAGAGCUUACUGUUGGUGAAAGCAUGGAGAUGUGGGGAGAAUGGCUCUCUUGGAGAGCUCACAGAAGGCCUGCAUUCUUUCCCCAUAACUUACUUGCCUUGUGGG
Acinonyx jubatus (cheetah) is the source of this 1322-nucleotide long non-coding RNA. RefSeq lists it as uncharacterized. The record is from RefSeq and is a predicted model, not a curated record. Lineage: Eukaryota; Metazoa; Chordata; Mammalia; Carnivora; Felidae. The transcript is spliced from 3 exons.